CUCUGGCCUGCCGGCCAUCUCCCCCACAAGGGGGAGAAUACACGCGGCU
Molecule: small RNA, 49 nt
Filed under: Sinorhizobium meliloti 2011
Lineage: Bacteria; Pseudomonadati; Pseudomonadota; Alphaproteobacteria; Hyphomicrobiales; Rhizobiaceae
Description: putative ncRNA
Source: RNAcentral